AGUGUAAUAAAAUUUUCGAACCGUAUAAAACGCAGCUUGGUUUCAAUAUAGUAAUAUGCUUUUAUUGAGCUUAGUUGGAAGUGAUCUGUUGUGUACUAAUACUUUUGAAGAGAACGUAUAUGCAAAGUAUAACAAGAAGUUUCAUUAUGUUAUCGCGUACACAUACAUCAUAGGUAUAUUAUAGAUAUGUUCGUUUAUAUGUGCUUUAAAGCAAUAAGCGUUUACUAUAUUUUUAUGAAGCCCUCGACUGCACAUAUACUGUAUACGUAACACAUGAACACAUUUUCCAAUAAAAAAGUGUAUCGUCGAAUGAAAAAA
Bradysia coprophila is the source of this 318-nucleotide long non-coding RNA. The record is from RefSeq and is a predicted model, not a curated record. NCBI's taxonomy places the organism in Eukaryota, Metazoa, Arthropoda, Insecta, Diptera, Sciaridae.